This 216-nucleotide unclassified non-coding RNA is filed under the name Hevea brasiliensis (rubber tree). Lineage: Eukaryota; Viridiplantae; Streptophyta; Magnoliopsida; Malpighiales; Euphorbiaceae. The record is from RNAcentral.
GGUUUAAACACCUUUGUUUUUGGUUCAGUAGAUUCGAUAAUCUCAAUACUGUGAUGAGUCUCAAAGUUCAAGUCUUUAACAGUGUUGCAAUUCGAUAGUCUGGUAAUUUCCAUUGCUAUGCUAUCUCCUUUCCCAAAUCCACUUCUCUGCCAUGCUCCCAAAAUGUAAAAGAAAAGGCAUAGACCAAUCACAGCAAAUAAAGAUAUAGGACCUCGG